RNAcentral lists this small RNA (28 nucleotides) under Bombyx mori (domestic silkworm). RNAcentral's name for it is "ovarian small RNA-15078". Lineage: Eukaryota; Metazoa; Arthropoda; Insecta; Lepidoptera; Bombycidae. The record is from RNAcentral.
GAAAGUUGUAUUGAAUCCGACGUCCCUA